UCUCGGUUAGUAUAAUGGUUCAGUAUCUCCGCCUGUCAACGACAACAGUCCGCGGAAGAUCCGGGUUCGAUUCCCGGACCGAGAG
Molecule: non-coding RNA, 85 nt
Organism: Borealophlyctis nickersoniae
Lineage: Eukaryota; Fungi; Chytridiomycota; Chytridiomycetes; Rhizophlyctidales; Borealophlyctidaceae
Source: the annotation of a GenBank genome assembly